RNAcentral lists this ribosomal RNA (497 nucleotides) under uncultured bacterium. Its description in RNAcentral is "partial 16S ribosomal RNA". It matches the Rfam family "Bacterial small subunit ribosomal RNA", at positions 28 to 507 of the family's 1533-position model. The record is from RNAcentral.
GAUGAACGCUGGCGGCGUGCCUAAUACAUGCAAGUCGAGCGAACAGACGAGGAGCUUGCUCCUCUUACGUUAGCGGCGGACGGGUGAGUAACACGUGGAUAACCUACCUAUAAGACUGGGAUAACUUCGGGAAACCGGAGCUAAUACCGGAUAAUAUAUUGAACCGCAUGGUUCAAUAGUGAAAGACGGUUUUGCUGUCACUUAUAGAUGGAUCCGCGCCGCAUUAGCUAGUUGGUAAGGUAACGGCCUACCAAGGCAACGAUGCGUAGCCGACCUGAGAGGGUGAUCGGCCACACUGGAACUGAGACACGGUCCAGACUCCUACGGGAGGCAGCAGUAGGGAAUCUUCCGCAAUGGGCGAAAGCUUGACGGAGCAACGCCGCGUGAGUGAUGAAGGUCUUCGGAUCGUAAAACUCUGUUAUUAGGGAAGAACAAAUGUGUAAGUAACUAUGCACGUCUUGACGGUACCUAAUCAGAAAGCCACGGCUAACUACGUG